GUGUAAAGGAAAGUGACUUCCGGAUUUCCCUCGCUGGCUAGAAGAGUCCUUGUCCUGCCCUUUUAAGGUGCGGAAAGUGUGGAACAGGCGGGAGGACCCGGCAUCCUGGGGGCGGGGCCGGUUUAGGCGUGGACAGUGCGGGCAAGGCCCUGUUGGGAGUUCUGAAUGUGACAUCCGUGGGACAACUGGACACAUGGGCUUGACUCGAAGGAAACAGGAGGCACCAGAGAUGUGGGGUUUGGGAUCAGCAGUCUGGAGAGAGACGUUAGGACCCUGGGAAGGGAUAGCUGCCUCUAGGGAGACUACAGAAAGAAGUUCAAGGGACAAAAGCCAGGUACCGCGGUUGAAGAGGCAGAAGGGGUACUGAGGCAGACAGGGUCUCACUAUGUGGUCCAGACUCAUGGUGAUCCUCCUGCCUCAGCCUCCCAAGUGCUGGGAUUACAGUUGCUCAUUGAGGCCAUGUAGCCUCAGAGAUUGGGGGCAUCCAGCCUGAAGAGGACCCCAGGAACAUCUGCUGACUGGAACUCCCAACACCUCAGAUCCUCAAUACCAGCUCACCUUGACUGCCUUUAGGGUCCAAGCCUUGAGGAAUCCCGGAGGGAACUUUCUUCCCACCUUUUCCAGAAAUCUGCUCGACACUUCAUCUCACAGCCACCACCCAACGGUUCUCCCUCAGCUCUGGCGCAAUUCCUGUCCCCCUCCUCCUGUGCCCCAGACUCUGAAGGGGGCAUAAGACGUGGCAGAGAGAGGGGUAGGCAGCCCCUCGGACUGGUCCAGAACAGGAGUUGCAGCCACUGGCUGUGAAGUGAGGAGAGGCGGAAGGAGGAGAAGCUGUUGGCCAGUGAAGAGUAAAACAGUCUCACAGGACCUGGGCGGCAGAUGGAAGCACAGUCGUCAGGAUGGGAGAGGAGGCAAGGAACGUGGACAAGGAACCCGAUAGCAGAAGGAGCUGAAAGAUGGGCCACAGAGGGAGUCACAGGGGAGCAGGAGAGAAGAGAGAUGGCGACCCAAGCCCUUGGCUGCUCCACAGUGCGAUUUGAGGGACAAAGGAGUCUGUAAUGGUGAAAGUGGGCCUGGGAGAGCGAG
Molecule: long non-coding RNA, 1086 nt
Filed under: Heterocephalus glaber (naked mole-rat)
Lineage: Eukaryota; Metazoa; Chordata; Mammalia; Rodentia; Bathyergidae
Description: lncRNA (ENSHGLG00100033744.1)
Source: RNAcentral